AGUCGACGAACAAUUUGGCGGAAGUUUUCGGAUGGAAGCUAGAUUGACUGAGUGGCGGACGGGUGAGUAACGCGUGGGUAACCUGCCUCACACUGGGGGACAACAGUUAGAAAUGACUGCUAAUACCGCAUAAGCGCACAGGACCGCAUGGUCCUGUGUGAAAAACUCCGGUGGUGUGAGAUGGACCCGCGUUUGAUUAGCUAGUUGGUGGGGUAACGGCCUACCAAGGCGACGAUCAAUAGCCGACCUGAGAGGGUGACCGGCCACAUUGGGACUGAGACACGGCCCAAACUCCUACGGGAGGCAGCAGUGGGGAAUAUUGCACAAUGGGGGAAACCCUGAUGCAGCGACGCCGCGUGAGUGAAGAAGUAUUUCGGUAUGUAAAGCUCUAUCAGCAGGGAAGAAAAUGACGGUACCUGACUAAGAAGCCCCGGCUAACUACGUGCCAGCAGCCGCGGUAAUACGUAGGGGGCAAGCGUUAUCCGGAUUUACUGGGUGUAAAGGGAGCGUAGACGGUAAAGCAAGUCUGAAGUGAAAGCCCGGGGCUCAACCCCGGGACUGCUUUGGAAACUGUUUAACUAGAGUGCUGGAGAGGUAAGCGGAAUUCCUAGUGUAGCGGUGAAAUGCGUAGAUAUUCGGAGGAACACCAGUGGCGAAGGCGGCUUACUGGACAGUAACUGACGUUGAGGCUCGAAAGCGUGNGGAGCAAACAGGAUUANAUACCCUGGUAGUCCACGCUGUAAACGAUGAAUACUAG
Molecule: ribosomal RNA, 757 nt
Filed under: uncultured bacterium
Lineage: Bacteria
Description: bacterial SSU rRNA
Rfam family: Bacterial small subunit ribosomal RNA
Source: RNAcentral